UGAGAAUGAUGUGUCUUACAUGGCUUCUCCAAGGAAAUCUUCAAAAUCACCGUUUCAUGGAUCCUGCUAUCACAGUGAGGCAUGCAUCAUACUCAUGGAGAUCUC
This 105-nucleotide long non-coding RNA is filed under the name Cavia porcellus (domestic guinea pig). RNAcentral's name for it is "lncRNA (ENSCPOG00000039425.1)". Lineage: Eukaryota; Metazoa; Chordata; Mammalia; Rodentia; Caviidae. The record is from RNAcentral.